GACGAACGCUGGCGGCGUGCCUAAUACAUGCAAGUUGAGCGCUGAAGGUUGGUACUUGUACCAACUGGAUGAGCAGCGAACGGGUGAGUAACGCGUGGGGAAUCUGCCUUUGAGCGGGGGACAACAUUUGGAAACGAAUGCUGAUACCGCAUAAAAACUUUAAACACAAGUUUUAAGUUUGAAAGAUGCAAUUGCAUCACUCAAAGAUGAUCCCGCGUUGUAUUAGCUAGUUGGUGAGGUAAAGGCUCACCAAGGCGAUGAUACAUAGCCGACCUGAGAGGGGGAUCGGCCACAUUGGGACUGGAAAACGGCCCAAACUCCUACGGGGGGCGGCAGAGGGGAAUCUUCGGCAAUGAACGAAAGUCUGCCCGGAGAACCCCGCGUGGGUGAAAAAGGUUUUGGGAUCGAAAAACUCUGUUGGAAGAGAAGAACGUUGGUGGGAGUGGAAAGCUCAUCAGGGAACGGAAACAACCAAAAAGGGGACGGCUAAUUACGG
RNAcentral lists this ribosomal RNA (496 nucleotides) under uncultured bacterium. Its description in RNAcentral is "partial 16S ribosomal RNA". It matches the Rfam family "Bacterial small subunit ribosomal RNA", at positions 28 to 506 of the family's 1533-position model. The record is from RNAcentral.